This 301-nucleotide ribosomal RNA is filed under the name uncultured bacterium. Its description in RNAcentral is "partial 16S ribosomal RNA". It matches the Rfam family "Bacterial small subunit ribosomal RNA", at positions 509 to 807 of the family's 1533-position model. The record is from RNAcentral.
CAGCCGCCGCGGUAAUACGAAGGGUGCAAGCGUUACUCGGAAUUACUGGGCGUAAAGCGUGCGCAGGUGGUGGUUUAAGUCCGUUGUGAAAGCCCUGGGCUCAACCCGGGAAUUGCAGUGGAUACUGGGUCACUAGAGUGUGGUAGAGGAUAGUGGAAUUUCCGGUGUAGCAGUGAAAUGCGUAGAGAUCGGAAGGAACAUCUGUGGCGAAGGCGACUAUCUGGGCCAACACUGACACUGAGGCACGAAAGCGUGGGGAGCAAACAGGAUUAGAUACCCGGGUAGUCCCUGUCUCUUAUAC